Molecule: ribosomal RNA, 758 nt
Filed under: Salmonella enterica subsp. enterica serovar Kentucky
Lineage: Bacteria; Pseudomonadati; Pseudomonadota; Gammaproteobacteria; Enterobacterales; Enterobacteriaceae
Description: partial 23S ribosomal RNA
Rfam family: Bacterial large subunit ribosomal RNA
Source: RNAcentral
CAUCCUCCAAGGCUAAAUACUCCUGACUGACCGAUAGUGAACCAGUACCGUGAGGGAAAGGCGAAAAGAACCCCGGCGAGGGGAGUGAAAAAGAACCUGAAACCGUGUACGUACAAGCAGUGGGAGCACAGGUUUACCUGUGUGACUGCGUACCUUUUGUAUAAUGGGUCAGCGACUUAUAUUCUGUAGCAAGGUUAACCGAAUAGGGGAGCCGUAGGGAAACCGAGUCUUAACCGGGCGUUAAGUUGCAGGGUAUAGACCCGAAACCCGGUGAUCUAGCCAUGGGCAGGUUGAAGGUUGGGUAACACUAACUGGAGGACCGAACCGACUAAUGUUGAAAAAUUAGCGGAUGACCUGUGGCUGGGGGUGAAAGGCCAAUCAAACCGGGAGAUAGCUGGUUCUCCCCGAAAGCUAUUUAGGUAGCGCCUCGUGAAUUCAUCUCCGGGGGUAGAGCACUGUUUCGGCUAGGGGGCCAUCCCGGCUUACCAACCCGAUGCAAACUGCGAAUACCGGAGAAUGUUAUCACGGGAGACACACGGCGGGUGCUAACGUCCGUCGUGAAGAGGGAAACAACCCAGACCGCCAGCUAAGGUCCCAAAGUCAUGGUUAAGUGGGAAACGAUGUGGGAAGGCCCAGACAGCCAGGAUGUUGGCUUAGAAGCAGCCAUCAUUUAAAGAAAGCGUAAUAGCUCACUGGUCGAGUCGGCCUGCGCGGAAGAUGUAACGGGGCUAAACCAUGCACCGAAGCUGCGGCAGCGA